CCUUAAUGAUGACGAAGUUGUUGAGUGUUCACACAGAUUCCUUGAUUCAAAGUAGUUAGAGCAAAGACCUGGUGCAGUGAUGCAUCAGCUUCUGUUGUCCAGCCUUCGGGAUGGAUGAGAGAAAACCUCUUCUGCCGGAUAACGGGAUGUGAAUAGCAGUUUACUGCUACCAGUUGUCUCCGUGCGCAAGCACUGCAAAGCAGACUCGGGGUCCCCUUCGUCUAGAGGCCUAGGACACCGCCCUUUCACGGCGGUAACAGGGGUUCGAAUUCCCUAGGGGACGCCACUUCUCUUCUUGCUAACAAGAAUGCAGAGUUAAGAACUGAUUCUUAACUCUGUUUUCUUCGGCCUCGCGCCGUUGCAAACAUGCUCUUUAACAAUCUGGAAAGCUGAUUUAAAAAGUAGUUCUCAAACAUUUGUUACAAGUGCUUUGGAAACUUCUUGGCGAAAACCAAAUUUUAUUUGGUCCUUGUUGUACAGCAACUUGAAUGCCGUUUCGACGACACUUCUUGGGGUUGUAU
RNAcentral lists this transfer RNA (521 nucleotides) under Aeromonas caviae. The stretch from base 211 to 283 matches the Rfam family "tRNA". Lineage: Bacteria; Pseudomonadati; Pseudomonadota; Gammaproteobacteria; Aeromonadales; Aeromonadaceae. The record is from RNAcentral.